Long non-coding RNA from Uranotaenia lowii, 562 nucleotides. RefSeq lists it as uncharacterized. The transcript is spliced from 3 exons. The record is from RefSeq and is a predicted model, not a curated record. Lineage: Eukaryota; Metazoa; Arthropoda; Insecta; Diptera; Culicidae.
UUCAGUUAGUCUCGUUUGUUCCCAAACAAGUCGGUCACUUAGAAAAAAAAGGUCUGGAUUGAUGGAAGACGUGCCCAGCUGUUGCAUCUGCGCUUCAGGCGGAUUUGUAACUAGUGAACAAUCUAACCUAAAUAUGGAACGAAACUGGCUGACCGGAAGUCCGGAUGGAAGAAGAAUAGUUAAAACGUUCACUUACUGUAAUCGGAAGCAUCAGUAAACAUUUGGGUAAAUAUCUGUAUGAAGGGACCAUCCAAAAUAGACUGCAGUUCCUGAAUAAAUCGCUGGAAGAUUUCUGCAUGGGCUUUUUUUUCCAGACAUGAAUCCUACCGUUCCACCAACCAUAGUCAUGAAUAUAGUUAAUUACAGUGACGAUUCAGUCCAUCAUUUCCUCCAUCCUGUUGCAUGAAAAAACAUCCGAACCGUAACCGAUAUUUUUGGGAAUCAGCAGUUCCGGUUACUACGAAGAUCCUCGACAUGACUGGCCGGUUUCUAAUAUAGUGCCUUCCGAUGGCUAAAAGUUCGGUUUUAUUAAGUUGCGUUCUCUAAAAAAAUAUUCCUGCCU